AUUGAACGCUGGCGGCAUGCUUUACACAUGCAAGUCGAACGGCAGCGCGGGGGCAACCCUGGCGGCGAGUGGCGAACGGGUGAGUAAUGCAUCGGAACGUAUCCUGUAAUGGGGGGAUAACGUAGCGAAAGUUACGCUAAUACCGCAUACGCUCGAGAGAGGAAAGUGGGGGAUCGCAAGACCUCACGUUAUAGGAGCGGCCGAUGUCCGAUUAGCUAGUUGGUGGGGUAAAGGCCUACCAAGGCGACGAUCUGUAGCGGGUCUGAGAGGAUGAUCCGCCACACUGGAACUGAGACACGGUCCAGACUCCUACGGGAGGCAGCAGUGGGGAAUUUUGGACAAUGGGCGCAAGCCUGAUCCAGCCAUGCCGCGUGAGUGAAGAAGGCCUCGGGUUGUAAGACUCUUUCGGUCCCGGGGAAGGAAAGUACGCAUGGGUUAAGUAACCCUCGUGUGGAUGACGGUACCGGAAGUAAGAAGCACCGGCUAACUACGUGCCAGCAGCCGCGGUAA
RNAcentral lists this ribosomal RNA (510 nucleotides) under uncultured bacterium. RNAcentral's name for it is "bacterial SSU rRNA". It matches the Rfam family "Bacterial small subunit ribosomal RNA", at positions 29 to 523 of the family's 1533-position model. The record is from RNAcentral.